RNAcentral lists this ribosomal RNA (301 nucleotides) under uncultured bacterium. RNAcentral describes it as "partial 16S ribosomal RNA". It matches the Rfam family "Bacterial small subunit ribosomal RNA", at positions 509 to 809 of the family's 1533-position model. The record is from RNAcentral.
CAGUCGCCGCGGUAAUACAGAGGAUGCAAGCGUUAUCCGGAAUGAUUGGGCGUAAAGCGUCUGUAGGUGGCUUUUCAAGUCCGCCGUCAAAUCCCAGGGCUCAACCCUGGACAGGCGGUGGAAACUACCAAGCUAGAGUACGGUAGGGGCAGAGGGAAUUUCCGGUGGAGCGGUGAAAUGCGUUGAGAUCGAAAAGAACACCAACGACGAAAGCACUCUGCUGGGUCGACACUGACACUGAGAGACGAAAGCUAGGGGAGCAAAUGGGAUUAGAUACCCGCGUAGUCCCUGUCUCUUAUAA